AGAACAUUUUUCUAAAAAAAGAGAGAGAUUCUGAAAUAUUAAAAAGUUGAGAAUACUUUGAGAAAUAUUGAGAGCAACAGAUAGAUCCAAGAGAUAGAAAAUUCUGAGAAAAUCAUACCUGCAUGAAUUCAUUGUUUCAUUGAGGACCUUUGGUGAUUUUCUAAAGUUUUCAAUCUCUCAAACGAAUUCUAGUCCUUUUUUAGCUGAAAUAAUUUGAGUUCGACUGGUUUUCAAGAGUUUGGUUCAAGUGUUUGAUAGUGUUUCUGAUUACUGGGCAUUGCUUACUGUUUCUGCUGAUAUUAAAUCUGGUUCAAGUUGAUUUUUUCUGCUGUUUCUGGGUUGGAUGUACUACGCUGUUGUUAUUUACUGCUAUCCUGCUGAUCUUCAUCUUCUCUCCUUGUUCUAUUACCAGGUACAUUCUCGAAUCAUAGUGUCAUGUAGCUGUUGAAAACUGAAAGGUAAUGCUUGAAUAUUCGAGUUUUUUAAGUUGUGAUGGUAUCUUAAUAGUCAAAUAAUAGGUAGUUUUAUGAUCUAUCUUUGUAAUUCUAUAAAGAAUGUGGACUAUAGAAUUUCUAUUUGACUGAACUGUUUUCCUUUGUUUAUAAUGGUAACUUAUAAUCUCCCUUAGUUUCCAUGUAUGUUAGUUAGAAUUUGUGUUUUGUUUUAAAUAGAUAUAUCAAGUUGUUGGAAUUGAACAAGUUUAGGUAAUCCCAAUUGGAGCCGGCAUCAGUCCAAAAUACUAGGGUAAUCGUGAACAUAUGGAUAAAUGUGACGACCCGACCCACCGUCUCUUGUAUUUCAGCCCCGUUAUUCCCAUUAUAUUGUGCAUUAUUAUAUUUUUCUGGUAAGUUCAAAGUGGUUUGGAUUGAAAUUGGAUAUACAUGAGACAAAUAGUCUCUUUAAGGAAAGCUUAAGUUGGAAAAGUCAAUCGGACGUUGACUUAUNNNNNNNNNNNNNNNNNNNNNNNNNNNNNNNNNNNNNNNNNNNNNNNNNNNNNNNNNNNNNNNNNNNNNNNNNNNNNNNNNNNNNNNNNNNNNNNNNNNNNNNNNNNNNNNNNNNCUAGUUUCGGGGGAUGAUUUGUGACUUAGGAGUGAAAGCGGAAGUGAAUUCGGAGGUCCGAAGUGAAAGUUAGCCUAUUUUGGCAAAGUUAGAAUUUCGGAGAAAUCCACCUGAUAGGUGAAAAUUUGAUCCGAGGGUUGGAAUAGAAUUCCAAAAGUUGCAUUAGCUUCGUUAGGCAAAUUUGAGUAUGUGUGCAAAUUUUCAGGUCAUUCGGACCUUGUUUGGUGGGUUUCGACAUCAGAUAUGGGUUUGGAAAGUUUAAGUUUAACUUAGAAUGAAAUUCAAUGAUUUUGGUGAUUUUUGAUGUUAAAGAUAGCGUUUGUAUAGGCCGAGUGAGUUUAAAUGUGGUAUUAGGGCAUGUUUGUGUUUUUGGUUGAGGUCCCGGGGGCCUCGAGGUGAUAUCGGAUGGUUAAACGAGGAAUUUUGGAGUUAAGCAUCAUAAAUGACUGCUGCUUCUGGUAUUUUUGCGGAAGUGGAUGGGGAAGUGAUGUCCACAGAAGCAGACAAUAAGCCGUAGAAGUGGCCAAAAGGAAGUCAGAGAUCGCAGAAGCGGCCAAAGGGACCGCGUUCGCUGUAGUCGCGGAAGCAGAAGAUCGACAGCAGAAGCGGCCGCUGAGGAAAUGGUCAGACCACGGAAGCGGUCAACUGGACGCGGAAGUGAGGACCAUUGAAGCGGAAAAAAUAUCGCGGAAGCGUAAAUCGUCCAGUUUUAAUGAUAAUAGAGGGUUUAACAUUUUCAAAAGGAGAAGAACAAUAGAACUUCGGGCUGAGACGAUUGAGAGAGGUUUUGGAGAGAUUUUCUAGGGGAGUCUUCAGUAUGAUCUCUUAGACCUCGAAUAUGUGAUUAUGGUGCAAAGUAAUGGAUUAAAAACUUAGAAUUCAAGGUCUUUAAUGUCAAAAAUGGUGGUUAGGGCUUGAAACCCAAGUGAACCUUAAAGUGUUGAUUUGAAGAGUCAAAUGGACUCGGAUUCAUGUAAAUUUUAUAUGUAUGGACUCGUCGCGUGACGAGGAUUCUGAAAACGUGAAUUUUAUAAUUUUUUGAGAAGCGGGCACGGGGCUUGGGGCUCGGGUUUUUUCUAGUUUUGAGAUUUUGGCUAUUUCUCGGUUGUUUUCGAUUGGGUAUUGUCACAUAGGCAUUUUGUGAUGUAUUCACUCUGUUUUUGUUUUGAUUCGACGCACGAGGAGAACGAAUUGAGAGGCGAAGGCGACGCUAGCUUGAGAUUUCAUCGGUUUGAGGGGAGUAAUGCUAGUAAAUGUUGUUCUGAGGGUUUGAAACCCCGAACUUUCACAUCAUACCGCUAGGUUGAGGUGUGACACGCACUCCAUGAUAAGUGAAAGGUCGGAUACUGUUGAGGGAUCGUGAUAUGGUCCAUCCCGAGUGAGAAUUAUACUAUAUUGGCGUAUGAUACACAUACUGUGAUGACUAUUAUUGCGCUUUAUGCCAUGUUUGAGGCCUAGUGCCGACCUUUGAUAUCCUUCAAGAGUUGGUAUUACUGUUUUAGCAUGAUUGCAUAUCAUUUGGUUUGGGGCCUAGUGCCGACUUGUGAUAACCUUCGGGAGUUGGUAUUACUGUUUUAGCAUGAUUACAUAUCAUUUACUAUCAGUCCAUGGUUUUAAAACAUUGUUUUCAAAACCCAGCCGUAUUUCAAAUGUUCAGAACACAUAUGCUAUCUUUUAAAUGUAUUUCGGCUGAGGAUCAUUGUUUAUAACUGCCCAAUAGGCUUAUGAUAUAUUUUUUGGACUGUUUUUGGGUGGCUCGGGCUGCGCGUCGCAACAGUGAUUAGAAACAGUGGUAACACGGACACUAUAUAAUAUGAGCGGUCAGGUAACAUAGACUGGCGUGGUUAUUGAUUUUUGCCACGAGAUGGCUGGUUUGAUUAUUCGCCACGAGAUGGCUGGUUUGAUUAUUCGCCACGAGAUGGAUGGUUAUUGCGCUUGGGCUGUAGGAGCCCCUAUGGAGUCUGUACACACCCCCAGUGAGCGUCGUCGAUGAUAAAUGAUAUGGGUGGCUCGGGCUUCACAUCGUAGUGGGUACCGGAUUGUACCAUCAUAUGCAUUGAGUCACAUCCCUGCAUUUGCAUCAUAUAUAUAUAUAUGCCCUGAUCACAUUAAUUACUUUGUGUAAUUAUUGGGUUUUUUUGCUUUCGGAGCUUUAUUUGUUGUUAUUACUCGCUGAGCUGGUAGACUCACCCCCUACUCCCUGCACCUUGUGUACAGAUUCAGGUGCUCUAGAGGAUUAGCGCGUGCGGUUGCUGGUUGUCAGUUUAACAGUAUUGAGGUAGCUGUCAGCGUCUGCAGGACCCAUAUGUCUGAUCUUCCAGUUAUUUUCUAGUUAUUCUGACACUUGUAUUUCCCUCAUUGUGACAUGUAUUUAGUAGUGUUAGAGGCUCUAAAACUCGUGACCCCAAGUCUUGGGAGUUUUAUAUCUAAGUUUGUUGUUUUAUCUUGAAUUGUCUCUCUUUG
RNAcentral lists this long non-coding RNA (3522 nucleotides) under Nicotiana benthamiana. Its description in RNAcentral is "long non-coding RNA (NBEN_LNC026367)". Lineage: Eukaryota; Viridiplantae; Streptophyta; Magnoliopsida; Solanales; Solanaceae. The record is from RNAcentral.